This 497-nucleotide ribosomal RNA is filed under the name uncultured bacterium. Its description in RNAcentral is "partial 16S ribosomal RNA". It matches the Rfam family "Bacterial small subunit ribosomal RNA", at positions 28 to 507 of the family's 1533-position model. The record is from RNAcentral.
GAUGAACGCUGGCGGCGUGCCUAAUACAUGCAAGUCGAGCGAACGGACGAGAAGCUUGCUUCUCUGAUGUUAGCGGCGGACGGGUGAGUAACACGUGGAUAACCUACCUAUAAGACUGGGAUAAAUUCGGGAAACCGGAGCUAAUACCGGAUAAUAUUUUGAACUGCAUGGUUCAAAAGUGAAAGACGGUCUUGCUGUCACUUAUAGAUGGAUCCGCGCUGCAUUAGCUAGUUGGUAAGGUAACGGCUUACCAAGGCAACGAUGCAUAGCCGACCUGAGAGGGUGAUCGGCCACACUGGAACUGAGACACGGUCCAGACUCCUACGGGAGGCAGCAGUAGGGAAUCUUCCGCAAUGGGCGAAAGCCUGACGGAGCAACGCCGCGUGAGUGAUGAAGGUCUUCGGAUCGUAAAACUCUGUUAUUAGGGAAGAACAUAUGUGUAAGUAACUGUGCACAUCUUGACGGUACCUAAUCAGAAAGCCACGGCUAACUACGUG